RNAcentral lists this ribosomal RNA (253 nucleotides) under uncultured bacterium. RNAcentral's name for it is "partial 16S ribosomal RNA". It matches the Rfam family "Bacterial small subunit ribosomal RNA", at positions 524 to 776 of the family's 1533-position model. The record is from RNAcentral.
UACAGAGGGUGCGAGCGUUAAUCGGAAUUACUGGGCGUAAAGCGCGCGUAGGCGGCUUUGCAAGUCGAGUGUGAAAUCCCCAGGCUUAACCUGGGAACUGCAUUCGAGACUGCAUAGCUAGAGUAUGGGAGAGGGAAGUGGAAUUUCAGGUGUAGCGGUGAAAUUCGUAGAUAUUCGGAAGAACACCAGUGGCGAAGGCGACUUACUGGACACAUAUUGACGCUGAGGUGCGAAAGCGUGGGGAGCAAACAGG